RNAcentral lists this long non-coding RNA (2329 nucleotides) under Triticum aestivum (bread wheat). RNAcentral describes it as "long non-coding RNA (TAES_LNC009379)". Lineage: Eukaryota; Viridiplantae; Streptophyta; Magnoliopsida; Poales; Poaceae. The record is from RNAcentral.
CCAUAUAUUGUAAUCAACACAAUUAAAAUUUAAGCCCAUUAAUUUCAAGUAAGGCCCACACCAAUCACUCGUUUCUCUUGGCCCAUGAAAAUUUAAGAACUUGACAGAAAUGUAUGUUCAUGUCAAUAAAAAACAAAAUUACAUAAGCACAUCUAUUACGCAUAUACAGGAGCAAAAAUAAAAGACCCAAAAAUGUUAAUUUUACAAGUAGUUCUCAAGAGAACACUAUAAUACUCCACAGCCAGCCCGGGGUCAUCUCACACUUCUGGCAAGAGAUCCGCUUGCCCAUGCCUAAGUCGUCAACCAUGUCUUUGUUGCUAAAAACACUCCCAUAAUACAAUAUCUGCCACGUGAUGAAAAAUAUGUCAGGUAUAAAAUAUUAUAGCCAGUAGGUUGAUCUAGAAGUAACUUACCACAUGUUACCAAUUCCAUAAUGAUUGUCUUAACGGAAUGUGUCCUAUAUGAUAUUCCACGGGAAAAAGAUCUAUGUGGCUUAAAAACAAUGUAGCUGAAAGGACAUUUGUAAGAUAUUACUUGUAAUAAAGGAUUGGAUCAAGUAGAAGUCAGUUCUUUAUGUAUAUUAUACACAUAAAAAUAGAGACUGACUAUAGAUACAACAAAUAUUGUGUGGUAUCACACUGCAAUAUGCUAUGAAUUAACUUGGAAUGGCACAACUAUUCAGAUCAUAUCCAAGGAAACCAUCAUACAAUUGACCAUAAGAAGCUUUUAUUACUACAUCCUAGCUAGUCUAGCCUAAAAUAUGGGCAAAAGUGAUGACUGUGAGAAUACACAUUAAUCUGAGUGAAAAAAACAUGUUACUUGUACAUGCUAUAACGUUCGUCCAAGCCUGAACAAAAGUGUCACCUACGAAGUCUUCGACAGAGAAAUUAAUGAUCUAAUGGUUGUCCAAAAUAAAAAAUUCUUUUGAAUGAAUAUAGAAAACUCUUUUGUUUUUUCAUGUGAAGAAACUAAAUUAAUAUCCAUUCAGUGGUGUUUUAUUUAACAACAAUUGUUAGAUUUUAUCCAGCAAAUAAUUGUUGAACUGACCAUAAGAAGCUUUUAUCCUAUCAUCCGUUUAGCACCCAGGACGUACAAAACACACUCUAAAACAUAAUCAAUGGAGAGAUUAAAAAACUUGGUAUUUCACCAUGAUUCUGGUUUUCCAAGAAUAAUGUUUUAUAAGUGUAUAAAAGAAAUCAACAAUUAGCAAUUCAGUCUUGUAUUUUAUUGAACACUUAGAUUUUUGUUAGUUCUGGCAUACUUAUCAAGUAGUACUUUAUCUCCCUUUUCAAUACAAAAAUACGAUUACAGUGACCUACAUAUAUUUUUAAGACAAUCAAACCUACAUAUAUGAAUGAUUUAGCAUAUAUCAGGUCUUUUUUCUUCAUGCACCAAGCUAAUCAUCCAGUUAGCCCUACUUCUACCUUACCUCACUAGGCUAAAGAUUAUUGUCAACUCGGGAGCUAUUCCUGUAGCAUUAAAAGGGCUUUUUCAGCAUUAUGUCAGAGAAGAUUAAUUCAAUUUUGCAGCUCUCAACACAUGAACUGAUCAGAGAAGACCAUAAAAAACGAUAUGAUGUGUGAGUUGCGGCUUCACCAAGCAGGGCCCUGCAAGUUGCUGGUAUUUGUAACAUCAACAUAACCGCAGAAAUGGCUAACUACAAUUUUUAGAUCCAUGCAAGUUAAACAUGUCAAAACUUACUUGAAAUCCACAUAUGCAUUAUUUUACUUUUAAUAUGUAUAUAUCCACAAAAUCGAACAAACUAACAGAUGGAUACUACACUACAUAUAUAUGUUUACUUAGAAUGAUACAUAAUCCAGAUAAACAACUUGCACAUUCUGACAAUAUGUGUGGUUUCUUGAUAUUUAUGUGUUUCUUAUGAGAUCCAAAUAUAUAGCUAUUUUCAGUUAAUAAUUAGAUGGUGUUUCAGUUAAUAAAUAGAUAAAGUGGUAGAUCCAGGAAUUGAACUUGGGUUUUCAAAUUAUUUUUUCACCCUAACAGUGAAACCAAUUGAUUCAUGGCAAUAUAAAGUUUUCAAAUCAAUGGCCUUUCCCUUGUUUUCGGAAUGCUCUAUUGCCUACAUUUCAAAGAUAGUGGCCUCAUUCUAUCAUUCAGUUCGAAGGUCGACUAAUGAAAUCAAUCAGAUCAGGACAAUGACAUGUACAAAGCUAUAUUUCUCUAAAUCCAAACAGAAGCUACACGUGUACAGGUCAACAAAUGCAACUUCAUAUUAGAACUUUGGAGGGGGUUCACCUAAUCACCCUUAGGGUUGGAGAUCGAGAUUGUUGGCAGCUGGAACAAGAGCGAGAUGUGCCCCGUGAUCCCCUGC